GACGAACGCUGGCGGCGUGCUUAACACAUGCAAGUCGAACGGAAAGGCCCUGCUUUUGUGGGGUGCUCGAGUGGCGAACGGGUGAGUAACACGUGAGUAACCUGCCCUUGACUUUGGGAUAACUUCAGGAAACUGGGGCUAAUACCGGAUAGGAGCUCCUGCUGCAUGGUGGGGGUUGGAAAGUUUCGGCGGUUGGGGAUGGACUCGCGGCUUAUCAGCUUGUUGGUGGGGUAGUGGCUUACCAAGGCUUUGACGGGUAGCCGGCCUGAGAGGGUGACCGGCCACAUUGGGACUGAGAUACGGCCCAGACUCCUACGGGAGGCAGCAGUGGGGAAUAUUGCACAAUGGGCGGAAGCCUGAUGCAGCAACGCCGCGUGCGGGAUGACGGCCUUCGGGUUGUAAACCGCUUUCGCCUGUGGCGAAGCGUGAGUGACGGUAAUGGGUAAAGAAGCACCGGCUAACUACGUA
RNAcentral lists this ribosomal RNA (468 nucleotides) under uncultured bacterium. RNAcentral describes it as "partial 16S ribosomal RNA". It matches the Rfam family "Bacterial small subunit ribosomal RNA", at positions 28 to 507 of the family's 1533-position model. The record is from RNAcentral.